GGGUUUCACCAGAACGUAGGUAGUCUAACCGCAAGGAGGACGCUUACCACGGUGAGAUUCAUGACUGGGGUG
RNAcentral lists this ribosomal RNA (72 nucleotides) under uncultured bacterium. RNAcentral describes it as "partial 16S ribosomal RNA". The record is from RNAcentral.